RNAcentral lists this long non-coding RNA (1063 nucleotides) under Chelonoidis abingdonii (Abingdon island giant tortoise). RNAcentral describes it as "lncRNA (ENSCABG00000010225.1)". Lineage: Eukaryota; Metazoa; Chordata; Testudines; Testudinidae. The record is from RNAcentral.
UCCGUUUUUUCCCAUCCCAUAGUUUCCCGAUUCCUCAAGGGCUUGGAGCGACUCUAUCUCCAGGUCAGACAACCAGCCCCUACCUGGGACCUGAACCUUGUCUUAUCCAGGCUCAUGGGACCCACCCUUUGAGCCUUUUAGCCACAUGCUCGCUGCUGUACCUGUCCUGGAAGACAGCAUUCCUAGUUGCUGUCACUUCAGCCAGACGGGUCUCGGAACUUAAAGCUUUAACUGUGGAUCCCCCGUACACAGUGUUCCAUAAGGACAAGGUACAGCUGCGACCACACCCGGCGUUCCUCCCUAAGGUCAUCUCCUCCUUUCAUGUCAAUCAGGACAUCUUCCUACCAGUCUUUUUCCCAAAACCGCACUCAUCGCGACGGGAACAGCAGCUGCAUACUCUGGAUGUUCGCAGGGCUCUCGCGUUUUACAUCAAGAGAACCAGACCCUUCCAACGUUCACCUCAGCUAUUUGUGGCGGUGGCAGAACAUAUGAGGGGCAUGGCAGUCUUCUCCCAGAGGGUCGCUUCUUGGGUGACAUCCUGUAUUCGGACAUGCUACGACUUGGCGCAGGUCCCGACUGGCCAUCUUACCGUCCACUCUAUGUGGGCUCAAGCUUCAUCUGCCGCAUUUCUGGCCCAUAUUCCCAUACAAGAAAUAUGCUGCGCGGCCACCUGGUCUUCCGUCCACAUCUUUGCAUCCCACUAUGCAUUGGUCCAACAGUCUAGGGACGAUGCCGCCUUCGGCUCAGCGGUCUUACAUUCCGCAACGUCUCCCUCUGACCCAACCGCCUAGGUAAGGCUUGGGAAUCACCUAACUGGAAUGGAUAUGAGCAAGCACUUGAAGAAGAAAAGACGGUUACUCACCUUUGUAACUGUUCUUCGAGAUGUGUUGCUCAUAUCCAUUCCACACCUGCCCUCCUUCCCCACUGUCGGAGUAGCCGGCAAGAAGGAACUGAGGAGCAGAUGGGCUGGCAGGGAUAUAUAUUGGGCGCCAUGGCGGCACCACUCCAGGGGGCGCCCUGCCAGCCCACUGAGUGUUGCUAGGGUAAAAAUCUCCAAACGUGC